UGGGGAAUUUUGGACAAUGGGGGCAACCCUGAUCCAGCAAUGCCGCGUGUGUGAAGAAGGCCUUCGGGUUGUAAAGCACUUUUGUCCGGGAAGAAAUCGCACCUGAUAAUACCGGGUGUGGAUGACGGUACCGGAAGAAUAAGGACCGGCUAACUACGUGCCAGCAGCCGCGGUAAUACGUAGGGUCCAAGCGUUAAUCGGAAUUACUGGCGUAAAGCGUGCGCAGGCGGUUGUGCAAGACCGAUGUGAAAUCCCCGGGCUUAACCUGGGAAUUGCAUUGGUGACUGCACGGCUAGAGUGUGUCAGAGGGGGGUAGAAUUCCACGUGUAGCAGUGAAAUGCGUAGAGAUGUGGAGGAAUACCGAUGGCGAAGGCAGCCCCCUGGGAUAACACUGACGCUCAUGCACGAAAGCGUGGGGAGCAAACAGG
Molecule: ribosomal RNA, 428 nt
Filed under: Bacillota bacterium
Lineage: Bacteria; Bacillati; Bacillota
Description: Firmicutes bacterium partial 16S ribosomal RNA
Rfam family: Bacterial small subunit ribosomal RNA
Source: RNAcentral